GCUCAACCACAAAAACAUGGAGCUUCAAGAUCACCUCAAGGGUGGAAGCAACAUGGAUGGGCUUCCAAGCACAGGCAUAACUAUUUGGCAGUUUCUUGCAUCCUUACUUGUGGAGGCCUGAGAUUUUAGACUUGUGGAGGCCUGAGAUUUUAGACUACAUAGGCUAGUGAAGGCCAUUCAAGGACGCUGCUCUGGAUCAAGAAGAAACAAAUAUGGAAUCGAUAAGGACCCAGUGAAACAUCAUUCAUCCAAAUGCACCCUUGAUGACAAAAUUGAAAGUAGAAAACUCAACAUGGCGGAAAGGAUUUUCAUGAAUUUACACCAGAGUGGCUCAAAUUUAGGAAAAUGGCUAAAUAGAAUUUGAUAAAGUUGCCACACUCUUAACAUUGGUGCUCCAGCAAAUAAGAUGAAGCAACUGCUACUUUCACCAGACCUGGCUGCUGAAAACACUAAAAGUGUAUAAGUUUUAAAAUGGUGAUUCAACUCAUCAAGCAGACUAAAAAAAGUCACUAUGAAACUUUGCUCACAAUGACCAUUGCGUUUCAUAAAAAGAUUGGAUAGGUGAGUCUGUAUCUGCAGAAAGCCUCAAACAACUCCAAUGCAAGGGAAAAGAGAGCAGUCAAUGAAUAUGCCAAUUUGGUAUAAAAUCCUAUGAUAUUCCUCCUGUUCUUGAACAGGUAGAUGGCAAAAAAGCCAGAAAUUCAAAUCAAGCCACCAUUUUGGCCAUGCAGAUCACAUCCUUGGAUUUGCAUGAACAAGUUCUUUUUUUUUUUUUUUUUUUUUUUAAAAAGAAGAUGAGAAAAACUAGUCACAACCGGGAAUGCAAGAGUAGCGGCGCCCACAAAAUGAGACUGAAACACAAGAUUUUUAAAAAUAAAGGAAAGAAAAAUACACCAACACAAACAGAACAUCUAAAGAUUGAACAAGAAAACAUGUCCCUUCAUGAGUGAAGAUAGAAAAAAAAAGGAAAGCUUUGCAGAACUUUAAAAAUCAUCAUAGAGUAAGCCUAAACAGCUCAGAAGCACGUUAAUACAUGGCAUAUCCAUCCAGGCAACUGAGGAUCACUGGGAGGGCCAAAAAAAGAGUGAAAAUGCUCCAAAAAUCAAAACAUGGAGAAAUUUUUUUAUCGUAUAAAUGGAAAGGAAAAAAAUGGGAGAACCCCCAAUAAAAGAAAGGGUGCAUGAUAGGAAGGCAAGGGACAGAAAAGGACUGAACGGAGACGCACAAUGCAAACUCAUCAAAACUUGAGCUCAGACAAACAAAAAUAAAUUUCCUAUUGAAGCGAAGCGAACCAUAAUAGGGGGAAGGCUAAAUACAUGGAUAUUUGAACUGCAAUUGCUUAGAAUAAGAUGGAUGAAAAAAAUUAGGAAAUAGGCGAACUAGGAACGGCAAAAGACAGCAUGAGGACCAUUAGAGAAGGAAGACAGCAGUCAAAAGGAUAAGACAUCGAAUCAAGCAUGGUCACCAGCGCAAACGUUACCAAUGCCUCAUGAUAUAGCAUCAUAACCCCCAACACACCAAAAUUUCUCAAAUCCAAAACCAAACAGACAAAUUGAAUAUGAAACAAAAAAUUCAAGAAGAUCCAAAUUCAUAGCCAUAAAGUUCAAUAACCAUAACAAAGAAUUUUCUAACUGGGUGUUUUACCUCAGCAAUCCACCAGCCGAGCUACAAUCAAAUCGCUGACAAAUACUCAUACGAGUCUCAAACCCACAUCUUCAAUUAUAUAAAUAAAGAAAAUUCCUUAAUGCCAGCAAGAACAAGCCCAACUUUUUCUUUUUCAGACAAAAAAUGGUAACUGUUAUUACCAAAAAAAUCAUCCUUCAAAUCCUAAAAUAGGGGCAAGAAAAGAAAAGGAUACACAAGACGCCAGAACUCCAAACCAUAAUUUCAAACAAACCCUAACCUUGUUUCAUUAAAAGUAAAAAAGGAAUCCAAAUGAAUCGCCUCGGAACCAGAACGCAACCAAAAGCCACAACCUUUUCAUCUUUUGGACCACUCAUACAGCACCGAAACCACACCCACCCAGAACAAUGAUUAACGAAAAAAACAAGAAAAUAAAACCCCAAAUGAAAACAAAUCAUCCAAAAAUGGGGGAAAGGGAGUCCAAUAACCUCAAAAUUACAUCUCCAAAAUUCCAAUCAAUCAGGACUUUCGAUGGAUCGAAACUCUAAUCAGAUGCACUCACCAGCUGAGGACCGCCAGAGACGGACGACCGACGGCGGACCGAGGCAUCGUCGUCGGGACGAUAGCCGGCGGUCAAGGGGCACAGCACCGACCAGAAAGCAGGAGGAGGUUGGAAGAAAUAAUACCGGAAAUCAUUGUGGUGGGGGAUUAUUACGUACGCUCGCAUUGGG
This 2354-nucleotide long non-coding RNA is filed under the name Elaeis guineensis (African oil palm). RNAcentral describes it as "long non-coding RNA (EGUI_LNC022539)". The record is from RNAcentral. Lineage: Eukaryota; Viridiplantae; Streptophyta; Magnoliopsida; Arecales; Arecaceae.